GAUCUCAGUUCUAGUCGGGCGGUCCGCCUAACGGCGGUAACUGCCCGUUCUGAACAAGCCAGCCGGUUUCCCUUGAUGAUCUUCACCGGUUGUCUCGGUUGACCGGCAAGUUUACUUUGAAUAAAUUAGAGUGCUCAAAGCAGGCGUGACGCCUGAACAAUGGUGCAUGGAAUAAUGGAAUAGGACCUCGGUUCUAUUUUGUUGGUUUUCGGAACACGAGGUAAUGAUUAAGAGGAACAGACGGGGGCAUUCGUAUUGCGACGCUAGAGGUGAAAUUCUUGGACCGUCGCAAGACGAACUACUGCGAAAGCAUUUGCCAAGAAUGUUUCCAUUAAUCAAGAACGAAAGUUAGAGGAUCGAAGGCGAUCAGAUACCGCCCUAGUUCUAACCAUAAACGAUGCCAGCCAGCGAUCCGGCUGUGUUCCUCAAAUGACACGCCGGGCAGCUUCCGGGAAACCAAAGCUUUUGGGUUCCGGGGGAAGUAUGGUUGCAAAGCUGAAACUUAAAGG
RNAcentral lists this ribosomal RNA (509 nucleotides) under uncultured eukaryote. Its description in RNAcentral is "SSU rRNA". It matches the Rfam family "Eukaryotic small subunit ribosomal RNA", at positions 637 to 1150 of the family's 1831-position model. The record is from RNAcentral.